Molecule: ribosomal RNA, 981 nt
Filed under: Triticum aestivum (bread wheat)
Lineage: Eukaryota; Viridiplantae; Streptophyta; Magnoliopsida; Poales; Poaceae
Description: partial small subunit ribosomal RNA
Source: RNAcentral
AUGGUCCCGCUUCCACUUCCGCCGGGACCAUGGUCGUGGCCACUGGUGGGUAGCCUGUCUGAGAUGGUGCUCAAUAAGCCAGCAUUCCGUUGGAUCCAUCGCGUGAUGAAGGAUAUGGGCACCGACAUCGCUUGCUUCCGCCUUGGCGGCGUCCACGUCGUCCCGAUCACAUGUCCCAAGAUCGCAAGGGAGGUGCUCAAGAAGCAGGACAAGAACUUCUUGUCCCGCGCACUCACCUUCGCCUCCGACGCCAUCAGCUGCGGGUACAAGGACGCCGUGCUCACACCGUUCGGCGACCAGUGGAUGAAGAUGCGCAAGGUGCUCACCUCUGAGAUCAGCUGCCCCUCCCGCCACAAGUGGCUCCAUGACAAGCGCGCCGACGAAGCUGACAACUUGAUGUGCUACAUCUACAACCUCACCGCCGUGGGGUCAUCUUCAACGUUGGGACUAGCCAACGUCAAUGUCAGGCACGUCACGCGGCACUACCGCGGCAACGUCAUCCGUCGGCUUGUCUUUGGCCAACGGUACUUCGGGGAGCCUCAGCCGGGGCCGAUGGAGGUGGAGCACAUGGACGCUUCCUUCACCCUCCUAGGGCUCCUCUUCUCAUUUUUCGUCAGCAACUACCUCCCGUGUCUACUUGGCCUAGACCUCGACGGCCACGAGAAAUUUAUUAAGGAGGCCAACAUAAAAGUGGAUAGACUGCACAACAUGGUCAUUGAAGAGCGUUGGAGGCAGUGGAACAGCGACGAGAGGCAGGACGGGGUCCAGGACUUCCUUGACGUUCUCAUCACGCUCGCCGAUGGUGACGGCAAGCCAUUGCUCAGCAUCGAUGAGGUCAAAGCACAAUGCAAGGACAUAAUAUUAGCGGCCAUAGAUAACCCGUCAAACGCAGUGGAGUGGGCGCUGGCAGAGAUGGUGAACAACCCAGAAUUGUUGGCCAAAGCGGUGGAGGAGAUGGACCAGGUGGUCGGUCGCGAGUGA